UAUGACUUGCAUUGCCACGACGGAAGACACUAGGGACAGCAAUUGACAAUCAACCGCAAAGAUGUAAAAUAUUAAGGUAGGUAGAGUAAAAAAGCAUUACCAACUGUAUCUGGUGUGCUUUACAUAUAAUUAUGCACAGAUAAAAUGAACAUUGUAGACAAUUGCAGCGAAUACGAGCGACAAUUUUUUUUUUCAGCUAGUAAGAUAACAGAAUAUCAAGGUAAGUCGGGCUAAAAAGCAUUUACAAACUGUAUGUAUAUAUGGUGUGCUUUAGCUUUAUUCACAGACUGAAAGAACUCUAAAUCCUGAAAAGUAGACAAUUGCAGCAAAAGAACUACAAGUACAGGAAGAAGAGUUAAGAUUGAAAGAACUCCAAACCAGAAAAAAAUCAUGGUGGCAAAUGCAGCAAGACGGGAGAAAAAGAGUUAAGCUUUAUUCAAAGACUGAAAGGGCUCGCAAGCACGAAAAAGUAGACAAUUGCAGCAAUAGAGCUACAAGUACAGAAAGAGAAUAGUUAAGAUUGAACGAACUCUAAACCAGACAAAGAACAUGACGCAUUUCGGCAAGUCUAGCAAGCUAUAACACGUACUGGUACAAGUUGAAGAGAGUUAAGAGUGGGUCGUUUCCAAGUGUUUUCAGGGAAUGGGCUGGCACGGUGAUCCUGUGAAUUAUGUUUCCACGGGGUCGACAAAUUAUUUUCAGCUGGUCAGAUAAUAGAAUAUCAAGGUAAGUCGGGCUCAAAAGCAUUUACAAACUGUAUGUAUAUAUGGUGUACUUUAGCUUUAUUCACAGACUGAAAGGACUCCCAAGCCUGAAAAAGUAGACAAAUGCAGCAAUAGAGCUACAAGUACAGGAAGAAGGGAUUGAAAGAACGGCAAACCAAAAAAAAAAUCAAAAAAAUCACAGACAAUUACAAGUUAAGAUUUAAGUGAAUGUAUACCGUACACAGAUGCAGUUGGCAUUGUGGCGUUAGAUCCGACUCGGGCAGGAAUUCGUAGUCCAACCAGCCUCAAAGAAAGAUUUUGCAAGUUCACUGGAGAUGUAGCUAACAGCAGAAAUACUAUUAUACAAUAUAUAUAAUAUUUUCCUUGUAAAUUUAUACCUCGUCAGUUACAAAUAUAUAAUUUAUAAAAUAAAUAUAAAACGAUAUAUAAUUAAAAAUAAUAAUUCAUUCAUUCAUUCAUUCAUAAAAAUUGCACUCAUUCUUUUUCUAACUACUGUAAAUGGUAUCUUCCUCUUUGUAAGGUGUCCCUUAGUGGUUUUUUAGGCAUCCGGUUAGCGUAGGUGGUUAGCGUAGGUGGUGAUAGAAGGUAAUUAAGGUACAUAAGUAAUUAGGGUAAAUAAGAGGAAUGAUACCAUUUAUACUGCUUCAAUUUCAUUGUCUUCCAUUGACACUUCAUAUUUCGUCGUUUCCCUAAUCUGUUUCUUAAAGGUACCUUUCUCUAUCGCAGGUAUGUAGAGUAAGUAUAGGUAGGUUAUCUAAAUAUAGCAUUAGGAACAGAGAAAUGAUACCUUCCUACUUUCCUUCUUUUCCUUCAUACAUAUAUUCAUUUUUGUUUUUGUCAUUUUCAUGUAAAAUUAAUAUUAAAUGGCAAUUAAUAAUAGUUAUAAUAAUAAUUUAACUGAUGAUAAUAAUUCAACUGUUGAGGUAUUUCUGUUAUAUGCAUGUUGUUAUUGGUCUACAAUGAGUUUAAUUGCAUAAACACAUGUGGUUAAGCUCGUGGGGCAGUGACGAGGGUAAGAAUUCAGAUCUUUCCUUACUGGAGCUAAUCUCCUGUUACUGUCGUGUGGUUUUCCCCGAGUUCUUCGGUUUCCUCCACACAAAAUUACUUCUCUAUUCGGUCAUUUUUUUUUUUUUUGGCAGUGAUUAAAAUAAAAUAUGCACAUUCGUGUC
Molecule: long non-coding RNA, 1894 nt
Organism: Anneissia japonica
Lineage: Eukaryota; Metazoa; Echinodermata; Crinoidea; Comatulida; Comatulidae
Exons: 7
Source: RefSeq, a predicted model, not a curated record